This 116-nucleotide antisense RNA is filed under the name Oceanobacillus iheyensis HTE831. Its description in RNAcentral is "Listeria sRNA rli30". It matches the Rfam family "Listeria sRNA rli30". Rfam says of the family: Coevolved with internalin gene lmo2445. Paired with CDS partners lmo0501 and lmo0508. Antisense to lmo0506. Lineage: Bacteria; Bacillati; Bacillota; Bacilli; Caryophanales; Bacillaceae. The record is from Rfam by way of RNAcentral.
UUCGUAUACUCAGCAUAAGCACCUGGAUUUCUUGCUCCAAUUACAGUUAGUUCCACACAUCUAGUUGGGUGUCCUUCCCUACAGUAAUGACAGUUCCCACAUGAAAAAGUAGGGCA